GGGCGGGUGGCGGAACGGCAGACGCGCCGGACUUAGGAUCCGGUGCCGCGAGGCGUGAGGGUUCGAGUCCCUCCCCGCCCA
RNAcentral lists this transfer RNA (81 nucleotides) under Anaeromyxobacter diazotrophicus. It matches the Rfam family "tRNA". Rfam says of the family: Transfer RNA (tRNA) molecules are approximately 80 nucleotides in length. The record is from Rfam by way of RNAcentral. Lineage: Bacteria; Pseudomonadati; Myxococcota; Myxococcia; Myxococcales; Anaeromyxobacteraceae.